RNAcentral lists this ribosomal RNA (301 nucleotides) under uncultured bacterium. RNAcentral describes it as "partial 16S ribosomal RNA". It matches the Rfam family "Bacterial small subunit ribosomal RNA", at positions 509 to 809 of the family's 1533-position model. The record is from RNAcentral.
CAGUCGCCGCGGUAAUACAGAGGGUGCAAGCGUUAAUCGGAAUUACUGGGCGUAAAGUGCGCGUAGGUGGUUUGUUAAGUUGGAUGUGAAAUCCCCGGGCUCAACCUGGGAACUGCAUCCAAAACUGGCAAGCUAGAGUAUGGUAGAGGGUGGUGGAAUUUCCUGUGUAGCGGUGAAAUGCGUAGAUAUAGGAAGGAACACCAGUGGCGAAGGCGACCACCUGGACUGAUACUGACACUGAGGUGCGAAAGCGUGGGGAGCAAACAGGAUUAGAUACCCCAGUAGUCCUGUCUCUUAUACA